CCUACGGGAGGCUGCAGUGAGGAAUAUUGGUCAAUGGACGAGAGUCUGAACCAGCCAAGUGGCGUGAAGGAUGACUGCCCUAUGGGUUGUAAACUUCUUUUAUAUGGGAAUAAAACGUUCCACGUGUGGGAUUUUGUAUGUACCAUAUGAAUAAGGAUCGGCUAACUCCGUGCCAGCAGCCGCGGUAAUACGGAGGAUCCGAGCGUUAUCCGGAUUUAUUGGGUUUAAAGGGAGCGUAGGUGGAUUGUUAAGUCAGUUGUGAAAGUUUGCGGCUCAACCGUAAAAUUGCAGUUGAAACUGGCAGUCUUGAGUACAGUAGAGGUGGGCGGAAUUCGUGGUGUAGCGGUGAAAUGCUUAGAUAUCACGAAGAACUCCGAUUGCGAAGGCAGUUCACUGGACUGCAACUGACACUGAGGCUCGAAAGUGUGGGUAUCAAACAGGAUUAGAUACCCCAGUAGUC
Molecule: ribosomal RNA, 460 nt
Filed under: uncultured bacterium
Lineage: Bacteria
Description: partial 16S ribosomal RNA
Rfam family: Bacterial small subunit ribosomal RNA
Source: RNAcentral